RNAcentral lists this small nuclear RNA (290 nucleotides) under Octodon degus (degu). RNAcentral describes it as "7SK RNA (ENSODEG00000022836.1)". It matches the Rfam family "7SK RNA". Rfam says of the family: 7SK was discovered as an abundant small nuclear RNA in the mid-70s but a possible function has only recently been suggested. Two independent studies have found that 7SK RNA binds the CDK9/cyclin T complex (known as elongation factor P-TEFb). P-TEFb activates transcription by phosphorylating the C-terminal domain of RNA polymerase II. The record is from RNAcentral. Lineage: Eukaryota; Metazoa; Chordata; Mammalia; Rodentia; Octodontidae.
GGAUGUGAGGGCGAUCUGGCUGUGACAUCUGUCACCCCAUUGAUCGCCCGGGUUGAUUCGGCUGAUCUGGCUGGCUAGGAGGGUGGGUAUCCCCUUCCUCCCUCAACAAUCCAUGUGCGUCCCUCCCGAAGCUGCAGGCUCUGUCGAAGAGGACGAACACCCCUGAUAGAGGAGGACCGUUCCUCGGUCAGGGAUAUAGGAGUAGCUGCGCUCCCCUGCUAGAACCUCCAAACAAGCUCUCAAGAAAGGGCGGGGGGGCCGGGGAGAUGGCUCAGUGGAAUAAGUGCUUC